Molecule: long non-coding RNA, 687 nt
Organism: Sciurus carolinensis (gray squirrel)
Lineage: Eukaryota; Metazoa; Chordata; Mammalia; Rodentia; Sciuridae
Exons: 3
Source: RefSeq, a predicted model, not a curated record
UGCAGUGAUCUUUGCAUGUCUACCCAGAUUGAUAGUAUGCUUCCCCUAUGUAACUGGAGUCUUAAAUUGUGCUUUAGCUUUCUUUUUUUUCUAUUUUUUUUUUAUUUUUACAGACUGCAUUUUGAUUCAUUGUACACAAAUGGGGUACAACUUUUCAUUUCUAUGGUUGUGCACGAUGUAGAUUCACACCAUUAAGUAAUCAUACAGCACUUCAACUUGUGAUGCCUCAAGUUUUCUUCCAUCAUUAAAUGAGGACCAAAGGCAUAUAAAGAGCAACUUUGUGUAGGAAUACUUUUCAAAGUUUUGAGAGAUGCCCAGUGAAGCACAGUGCCUGGCACAGGGAGCAUGCUGUGUGUGCAGAGGAUGGAAGAGCUGAGUCUAGAGCCAACUGCAAGGGAGACAAGAUUGGGCUUUGCCUCUUUCUCUCAGAGUCCCAGUGGGCAUCAUGUCUAAAUGGGUUGCACAGCACUUUCCUGUGGCUUCCUGUUCCCUCACAUCGAGGUAAACUGCCCCGAAAGAAGAAAAAAAGGUACUUGUACCACAUUAGGACCUUUGAACAUGAUGUUGUGUAUCUAGGGAUGGAAGAAAAAGACUGCAUGAAAUAAACCUACAAAAACCAUUUAGUUUAAUUUUAGUUUAGCCUACUGCAAAUGCACUUAUUCUAGAAAAUGUUAGAGUUAUAUAAGG